Molecule: transfer RNA, 85 nt
Filed under: Deltaproteobacteria bacterium HGW-Deltaproteobacteria-20
Lineage: Bacteria; Deltaproteobacteria
Also listed under: 1 other name
Description: tRNA-Ser
Rfam family: tRNA
About the family: Transfer RNA (tRNA) molecules are approximately 80 nucleotides in length.
Source: RNAcentral
GGAGGAGUGGCCGAGUGGUCGAAGGCAGCGGUUUUGAAAACCGCCGUACUGCAAGGUACCGGGGGUUCGAAUCCCUCCUCCUCCG